This 506-nucleotide ribosomal RNA is filed under the name uncultured bacterium. RNAcentral describes it as "partial 16S ribosomal RNA". It matches the Rfam family "Bacterial small subunit ribosomal RNA", at positions 29 to 523 of the family's 1533-position model. The record is from RNAcentral.
AUUGAACGCUGGCGGCAGGCCUAACACAUGCAAGUCGGACGGUAGCACAGAGGAGCUUGCUCCUUGGGUGACGAGUGGCGGACGGGUGAGUAAUGUCUGGGGAUCUGCCCGAUAGAGGGGGAUAACCACUGGAAACGGUGGCUAAUACCGCAUAACGUCGCAAGACCAAAGAGGGGGACCUUCGGGCCUCUCACUAUCGGAUGAACCCAGAUGGGAUUAGCUAGUAGGCGGGGUAAUGGCCCACCUAGGCGACGAUCCCUAGCUGGUCUGAGAGGAUGACCAGCCACACUGGAACUGAGACACGGUCCAGACUCCUACGGGAGGCAGCAGUGGGGAAUAUUGCGCAAUGGGCGCAAGCCUGAUGCAGCCAUGCCGCGUGUAUGAAGAAGGCCUUCGGGUUGUAAAGUACUUUCAGCGGGGAGGAAGGCGGUGCGGUUAAUAACCGCACCGAUUGACGUUACCCGCAGAAGAAGCACCGGCUAACUCCGUGCCAGCCGCCGCAGUAA